AAAUCAAUAAAUAAGUAAAUAACCCCAAAAAUAAAAAAAAAUUAAAAAGUCAAUGCAUAACAUAACUGGUACAUAUACCGAGUCUCUAAGAGAAUAACUCAUUAGUGGUACCAUCUUAUAAAUGAGAAAAAAAAUGCAGGAAGGUGAGGAACGUUCCGGGAUCACUGUGAGAGACAGCUACUGCUGCCCAAAGAGCCACUGUCUUUGCCUACUUUGCAGCCUCUGUUGCAGUUGGGUUAGAGACUUGUGACUAGCCUGGUCAACAGACUGUGAGUGGAACUAAUGUGUGUCACUUCCUGGGUGAGGCAGUGAAUAGGUAACGUCCUCCUUCAGUUCUCUCUUCUCCUCCCACAAUGACCCUGGGGGUCAGAUGUUGAGUUAGCGGCACCACAGAAUGGAAGAAGCCUAGAUUUUGACUCACAGCUUUGAGAAAUGUCCCCAUAAACCCUCAUCAGACUAUGCAUGGAUGAGAAAAAACUUAAUGACUCCAGCCAUGAGAUCUGAGGAACUGCUUGUUGCUACACCAGUCUGUCCUAUACAGGUCACAGGAACCUCAAGUAUUUCACAGAAUGAUGCCAAGGAGCGCAGUUUCUACACCAUCCCUCCCGAUCAGACCACAUCUAUUCCAAUCUCAGUCUCAAACUCUUCCCCUUUUUCAACUCACAUUAAUGAAUUCACUAAGUACCUAGCACUGAGAAUAAAAAGCUAAAGCAGCA
Molecule: long non-coding RNA, 716 nt
Filed under: Homo sapiens (human)
Lineage: Eukaryota; Metazoa; Chordata; Mammalia; Primates; Hominidae
Description: HSALNT0387290
Source: RNAcentral